This 596-nucleotide ribosomal RNA is filed under the name uncultured bacterium. Its description in RNAcentral is "bacterial SSU rRNA". It matches the Rfam family "Bacterial small subunit ribosomal RNA", at positions 112 to 704 of the family's 1533-position model. The record is from RNAcentral.
AAUACAUCGGAACGUGCCCUGUAGUGGGGGAUAACUAGUCGAAAGAUUAGCUAAUACCGCAUACGACCUGAGGGUGAAAGCGGGGGACCGCAAGGCCUCGCGCUACAGGAGCGGCCGAUGUCUGAUUAGCUAGUUGGUGGGGUAAAAGCCUACCAAGGCGACGAUCAGUAGCUGGUCUGAGAGGACGAUCAGCCACACUGGGACUGAGACACGGCCCAGACUCCUACGGGAGGCAGCAGUGGGGAAUUUUGGACAAUGGGGGCAACCCUGAUCCAGCAAUGCCGCGUGUGUGAAGAAGGCCUUCGGGUUGUAAAGCACUUUUGUCCGGAAAGAAAUGGCCUGGGCUAAUACCCCGGGUCGAUGACGGUACCGGAAGAAUAAGCACCGGCUAACUACGUGCCAGCAGCCGCGGUAAUACGUAGGGUGCGAGCGUUAAUCGGAAUUACUGGGCGUAAAGCGUGCGCAGGCGGUUUUGUAAGACAGGCGUGAAAUCCCCGAGCUCAACUUGGGAAUGGCGCUUGUGACUGCAAGGCUAGAGUAUGUCAGAGGGGGGUAGAAUUCCACGUGUAGCAGUGAAAUGCGUAGAGAUGUGGAGG